GACGAACGCUGGCGGCGUGCCUAAUACAUGCAAGUCGAGCGGACGGAUGGGAGCUUGCUCCCAGACCGUCAGCGGCGGACGGGUGAGUAACACGUGGGCAACCUGCCUGUAAGACUGGGAUAACUCCGGGAAACCGGGGCUAAUACCGGAUAACUCUUUCCCUCACAUGAGGGAAAGCUGAAAGAUGGCAUCUCGCUAUCACUUACAGAUGGGCCCGCGGCGCAUUAGCUAGUUGGUGAGGUAACGGCUCACCAAGGCGACGAUGCGUAGCCGACCUGAGGGGGUGAUCGGCCACACUGGGACUGAGACACGGCCCAGACUCCUACGGGAGGCAGCAGUAGGGAAUCUUCCGCAAUGGACGAAAGUCUGACGGAGCAACGCCGCGUGAGUGAUGAAGGUUUUCGGAUCGUAAAACUCUGUUGUCAGGGAAGAACAAGUACCGGAGGAACUGCCGGUACCUUGACGGUACCUGACCAGAAAGCCACGGCUAACUACGUG
Molecule: ribosomal RNA, 498 nt
Filed under: uncultured bacterium
Lineage: Bacteria
Description: partial 16S ribosomal RNA
Rfam family: Bacterial small subunit ribosomal RNA
Source: RNAcentral